RNAcentral lists this long non-coding RNA (275 nucleotides) under Physcomitrium patens. RNAcentral describes it as "long non-coding RNA (PPAT_LNC008072)". The record is from RNAcentral. Lineage: Eukaryota; Viridiplantae; Streptophyta; Bryopsida; Funariales; Funariaceae.
CAUGUAUCCUUGUGGCCACAUAAGCUAUCCAAUUGAAUACCAUGCCUUCCAGUAUUCCUAUUGCGGAAAACAGUAAUCGCUUCGCCAUAUAGAUGGUAUGCUGAUUCAAUGUUAAUCGCUUCUGAACGAACCACAUCUAUUCCAUAAGUGCCUCCUGUACCUCCUAUCCUUGAUAUCGCUCAAGAGACGACAUCCCUCCUUUGAAGUAGCUUCCUGGCCUUAAAUCAUUUGACGCAUCUCCUUCCACCUCAAGCUCUCUAGUUGAUAAAUGCAAG